Molecule: ribosomal RNA, 455 nt
Filed under: uncultured Rhodoferax sp.
Lineage: Bacteria; Pseudomonadati; Pseudomonadota; Betaproteobacteria; Burkholderiales; Comamonadaceae
Description: bacterial SSU rRNA
Rfam family: Bacterial small subunit ribosomal RNA
Source: RNAcentral
CAAGCGGUGGAUGAUGUGGUUUAAUUCGAUGCAAUGACGAAAACCUUACCCACCUUUGACAUGUACGGAACCCUUUAGAGAUAGAGGGUGCUCGAAAGAGAGCCGUAACACAGGUGCUGCAUGGCUGUCGUCAGCUCGUGUCGUGAGAUGUUGGGUUAAGUCCCGCAACGAGCGCAACCCUUGUCAUUAGUUGCUACAUUCAGUUGGGCACUCUAAUGAGACUGCCGGUGACAAGCCGGAGGAAGGUGGGGAUGACGUCAAGUCCUCAUGGCCCUUAUAGGUGGGGCUACACACGUCAUACAAUGGCUGGUACAAAGGGUUGCCAACCCGCGAGGGGGAGCCAAUCCCAUAAAGCCAGUCGUAGUCCGGAUCGUAGUCUGCAACUCGACUACGUGAAGUCGGAAUCGCUAGUAAUCGUGGAUCAGAAUGUCACGGUGAAUACGUUCCCGGGUCUU